Molecule: unclassified non-coding RNA, 305 nt
Filed under: plant metagenome
Description: partial contains 5.8S ribosomal RNA, internal transcribed spacer 2, and large subunit ribosomal RNA
Rfam family: 5.8S ribosomal RNA (bases 1-105)
Source: RNAcentral
GAAAUGCGAUAAGUAGUGUGAAUUGCAGAAUUCAGUGAAUCAUCGAAUCUUUGAACGCACAUUGCGCCCUUUGGUAUUCCUUAGGGCAUGCCUGUUCGAGCGUCAUCUAAACCUUCAAGCCCUGCUUGGUGUUGGGUGCCUGUCCCGCCUCCGCGCGCGGACUCACCUCAAAUCCAUUGGCGUCCCCCGCGUCGGCCACGAGCGCAGCAGAAACGCGAACUCGUGAGCCCGUCCGGGCGGCUCCCAGAAGCUACACCCACCCAGUUUGACCUCGGAUCAGGUAGGGAUACCCGCUGAACUUAAGC